GCCCGCUCAGAAACUUAAAGGAAUUGACGGGGCCCGCACAAGCGGUGGAGCAUGUGGUUUAAUUCGAUGAUACGCGAGGAACCUUACCUGGGCUCGAACGUAAGAUGACUGUAGGUGAAAGCUUACAUCUCUUCGGAGCAUUUUACGAGGUGCUGCAUGGUUGUCGUCAGCUCGUGCCGUGAGGUGUCGGGUUAAGUCCCAUAACGAGCGCAACCCCUACCUUUAGUUGCCAUCAGGUUAAGCUGGGGACUCUAAAGGAACUGCCUACGCAAGUAGUGAGGAAGGCGGGGAUGACGUCAAAUCAGCACGGCCCUUACGUCCAGGGCUACACACGUGCUACAAUGGCCGAUACAGAGGGCAGCUACCUGGUGACAGGAUGCAAAUCUCCAAAGUCGGUCUCAGUUCGGAUCGGAGUCUGCAACCCGACUCCGUGAAGUUGGAUUCGCUAGUAAUCGCGCAUCAGCCAUGGCGCGGUGAAUACGUUCCCGGGCCUU
Molecule: ribosomal RNA, 494 nt
Filed under: uncultured Sphingobacteriales bacterium
Lineage: Bacteria; Pseudomonadati; Bacteroidota; Sphingobacteriia; Sphingobacteriales
Description: bacterial SSU rRNA
Rfam family: Bacterial small subunit ribosomal RNA
Source: RNAcentral